CCAAAGCACAAAGAAAAUCGCACCUCAAUUCCCUCUCCAAAGCACAGAGAAAGAGACGCGCCACCUGGUACCCAACUCCCCGACGCCAGCCACCCAUGACGUCGCCGCCGUCUCCCCGCUUGGUUCGCACGCCGAUGCAGCACACCGGCCCGCACCUCAAAUUGUGUCUCCCCUGCCGCCUGCGGCGCUCCAGCACGGCUCGCCUCCGUGAGCUGACUUCCCCGGCCUGCUUCAAACCCUUGCGCCGGCGUCGAGGACGACGACGCCCAGCCUCGCGCGGUGCUGCUAGCCCUCGCCUUCGAUUCAACAGCCGUGUCAGCCGCUGCUUGUCCGCGCGCGAACUCCGGCGCCCCUGCCUCGCCGGCGUCUUCGCGUGGUCGCCCAACACCAUGGACGCGGCCGUGAGCGCCAGAUGGGGCGCGUCCACGACCUGCAGGACCUCGCCCCACAACCACGCCGCCGUCCAUCCAGGAGCACCUCUCGCCACCCAAAGGUGUCCCUGGCAAGAGUGGAAACCAGCCAGUGUGCUCACCGCGGAGGCGUGCAGUUGCAAGCGGUUCCUUCUUCUUCGACUCCAUGGUUUUCGAUGCACAAGUGUAUGCGGCCAUGUCACCGAGCUGUCGCUCUUGCUGGCCACCACUCCGACCUGCAGCUACUGGCGAUGGUUUCGGUGGCGCAACUGCUGCUGGGCUGGCCAGAGCCUCCUGCGCCUGGAGCCGUGCUCCAAUCAUGCGCGGAUGCAGAUGAUCACAUGUCCAGGAGGUUGACGCCGCGGCGACCUCGACACCACCAUCGAGGAGAUCGUCAACAUUGGCUCCCAAAGAUGAUGCUUUGAUCUAUGUUGACGAGGAUCUUCCCUAAGCAUACGGUUGUAAAGUUGAUGAUAGUUUCUGAAUUUGAUCUCCAUGCACAGCAACCUUGUUCUUGUGCCUUGUAAUGUAAUGAAGUGCAUCAAUCGAUCACUGCCAGGAUAUUUGUUUUAUCCAUCCUGGUGUGAUAGGUAGUAUGACAAAAGGAGGCAAUUUAAGUUAGUCCAUACGGUUUGCUUUCUCAGCUUUACCUUUGGCAAUAUGUAUGUUUUUUUGUGUGGUAAUAAAGUUCUUACUUUAUUAUUUCAUUUCCUGUUGGAGGGAUGUCAUGUGGCAAGCAAAGUAAGGGAUGGGGAAGACUGCUGGUUUUAUUGUGCCACACAAGAGAGCUGGCUUAAUUACCAGCUCUAUUCUAUGGAGUUGUUCACAUAAAGAAGGAUUUAUUUGAUGUCCUCAUUGUGGUGGGCACACCUGGAAGGAUUCUAGCUUCGGCUAGAGAGGAUCUUUCUUUGAACAAUGUGAGUGGAUCGAGCUAGAGCUGGCCCAGGAGGUAGCCAUGGCUGUUGGAUCUGUCUGGCAGGCAGCGAGGGCCUUCUUCGUCAAGUCUGUGGGUUAAGGAUACCGAGGAGGAGGAGGAGGAGGAGGAGGAGUAUAUGAAUGGAGGACAGGGUAGGUGCGGCUUGAGACCUGAUGCAUAUUACCUAGGAAGCUGGAAGACCUGAUGGCACCAAUAUGAAGCAGCAGCUUUGCAGAUGUUGUAACGCAGCAUGGUGUGUUGUGUUGUAUGUAACCAUGCGGAAACUUUGAUGAUGUGUGUCGCCGUUGCCCUUGACGUGUCGAGGAGUUUUGUGCUUGAUUCUACUCUGAUAUGUAUCUUGAAAAACAGGCGAGGACAUGCCAAAAUUUGGAGCAGUCAUUCCGUGGCA
This is a non-coding RNA of Lolium perenne, 1735 nucleotides long. The record is from RefSeq and is a predicted model, not a curated record. Lineage: Eukaryota; Viridiplantae; Streptophyta; Magnoliopsida; Poales; Poaceae.